AAGAUUAAGGAGUAUAGAAGGAGCAUCCAUGUCCUCAUACUGCCUCUAAAGCUCAUUGCUCAUCGAAGCAAGUAUGAUGCAUUUGACAGUCACACUGCUAUCCUUCCACAUCUUGUAUGUAGCCUUUUCCUCCUCAGAAGCAUCUUCUUCGAUCGUAUCGGGUGCAAGUGUAUCCAGUAUGUAGGAGACUUUCUCCUGAGUGAAAAUAAUUUUUAGAUUUCUUAACCAGUCCACAUAGUUAGGUCCGAUCAAUUUGUUAGCAUCUAGUGAC
Molecule: long non-coding RNA, 271 nt
Filed under: Elaeis guineensis (African oil palm)
Lineage: Eukaryota; Viridiplantae; Streptophyta; Magnoliopsida; Arecales; Arecaceae
Description: long non-coding RNA (EGUI_LNC037507)
Source: RNAcentral